RNAcentral lists this ribosomal RNA (284 nucleotides) under uncultured bacterium. Its description in RNAcentral is "partial 16S ribosomal RNA". It matches the Rfam family "Bacterial small subunit ribosomal RNA", at positions 335 to 634 of the family's 1533-position model. The record is from RNAcentral.
UGCCUACGGGACGCAGCAGUAGGGAAUCUUCCACAAUGGGCGAAAGCCUGAUGGAGCAACGCCGCGUGAAGGAAGAAGGCUUUCGGGUUGUAAACUUCUUUUGUCAGGGACGAAGCAAGUAACGGUACCUGACGAAUAAGCCACGGCUAACUACGUGCCAGCAGCCGCGGUAAUACGUAGGUGGCAAGCGUUAUCCGGAUUUACUGGGUGUAAAGGGCGUGUAGGCGGGGAAGCAAGUCAGAUGUGAAAACCACGGGCUCAACCUGUGGCCUGCAUUUGAAACU